Molecule: ribosomal RNA, 532 nt
Filed under: uncultured bacterium
Lineage: Bacteria
Description: bacterial SSU rRNA
Rfam family: Bacterial small subunit ribosomal RNA
Source: RNAcentral
AGCAAAUAGAUACCCCGGUAGUCCACGCCGUAAACGAUGCCGACUAGGUGUCGGGGGUAUCGACCCCUCGCGCCGCCGCUAAACGCAUGAAGUCGGCCGCCUGGGGACGUACGGCCGCAAGGCUAAACUACAAAGGAAUUGACGGGGCCCGGCACAAGCAGCGGAGCGUGUGGUUUAAUUCGAUGCAACGCGCAGAACCUUACCGAGGCUUGACAUGCAGGUGGUAGGAACCGGAAACGGAACCGACCCGCGAGGGAGCCUGCACAGAUGCUGCAUGGCUGUCGUCAGCUCGUGCCGUGAGGUGUUGGGUUAAGUCCCGCAACGAGCGCAACCCUGCUGCCAGUUACUCUGUCUGGCGGGACCGCCGGUCUAAACCGGAGGAAGGUGGGAUGACGUCAAGUCAGCACGGCUCUUACGCCUCGGGCGACACACACGCUACAAUGGCCGGUACAACGGGCGGCGAACCCGCGAGGGCAGCGAAUCCCACAAAGCCGGCCUCAGUUCGGAUCGCAGGCUGCAACUCGCCUGCGUG